AGCUUUUACGAGGUAUCAGCACUUUUCUUUCAUUAGGGGGAAGGAGUGAGGAAAGUACCAAACAGCAGCAGACUUUUAAACUUUAAAUAGACAGGUCUGAGUGCCUGAACUUGCUUUUUCAUUUUACUUCAUCCUCUGAGGCGUGCCUACUUCACUUCUUUUAAGGGAAAGAGUAAGUUUUCAAA
Molecule: non-coding RNA, 185 nt
Filed under: Sus scrofa (pig)
Lineage: Eukaryota; Metazoa; Chordata; Mammalia; Artiodactyla; Suidae
Description: Connexin-43 internal ribosome entry site (IRES)
Rfam family: Connexin-43 internal ribosome entry site (IRES)
About the family: This family represents the connexin-43 internal ribosome entry site (IRES) which allows cap independent translation during conditions such as heat shock and stress.
Source: Rfam by way of RNAcentral